RNAcentral lists this transfer RNA (66 nucleotides) under Phrynocephalus vlangalii pylzowi. RNAcentral describes it as "tRNA-Tyr". Lineage: Eukaryota; Metazoa; Chordata; Lepidosauria; Squamata; Agamidae. The record is from RNAcentral.
GGUAAGAUGGCUGAAUUGAGGCGGUGGUUUGUACUUCCAUUGAUGGAGUGAUAGCUCCUCUUAUCA